GGUUGACCUCGGAUCAGGUAGGGAUACCCGCUGAACUUAAGCAUAUCAUAA
Molecule: ribosomal RNA, 51 nt
Filed under: Aspergillus niger
Lineage: Eukaryota; Fungi; Ascomycota; Eurotiomycetes; Eurotiales; Aspergillaceae
Description: partial 28S ribosomal RNA
Source: RNAcentral